RNAcentral lists this ribosomal RNA (561 nucleotides) under Triticum aestivum (bread wheat). RNAcentral's name for it is "partial small subunit ribosomal RNA". Lineage: Eukaryota; Viridiplantae; Streptophyta; Magnoliopsida; Poales; Poaceae. The record is from RNAcentral.
AUGCUUUGUUUGAUUCAGAUUAUGCUAGUGAAUUCAUUUACUUCACCUUACCUUAUGCAGCCAACAGCAGCAGCAGAGGCAAUCAGCAGUCGAGGUGGUCGAGGGCAGAGGCAAUCAGCAGAAGCAAUCAGCAGAGGCAAUCAGCAGUCGAGGGCAGGCGGCAGUGGCAUCAGCAGGUCUACGUGGUUUUCUCGCCGCCGGGGAAGAUCCGCCUUGCCCUGCCUGCCGAAUUCUUCAAGAGGCACAAGAGGGGAGCGGCGACCGGGGUUGGCAGCGGCGGCUGGGGUUGCCGCGGGGGUGAGGAACCGGCGAGCAGGACACGAGCAGGGCCAGGGCCGCGAGCAGGGCCGCGAGGAGGAGGCGCCCGUCGAGGUGGUCGCCUUGGAGGAGCAGCCUCAGCUGGGCGGUAGGGCAGCUCGCCUCCGUGCGGGCGGCCCACGUUCGCAGUGGCGGAGCAACCGCAGGUGGGCGACGGCGCAGGUGGUCGCCCGCUCUUUCUACGGCGGCUGCCGGCGGUGGCUACGACGGCCGCUUGGUCGAAGGAGGAAGAAGCAUAGGUGA